CGCCCGCCCGCCCGCCCAUCCUCUUUGGCAUCUCCACUCCGGACCAGUUCAGCAGCCGCAGUAGAAACACAGUACCCUCCUCCGCUUUCUCCAUCCUGAUCCUUCCCUGCGGCACCAAUUUCUACAACCCUAAACCUCGCGUUUCACUGCUCUGCCUCUGGCUCCGGAGCCCAAGGCAUUUGUCGCCGUGUUCCUUCUUUUCUCGUACCUUUCUUUGGCUCCACCACCCCCGAAUCCUGCUCACCGUGUCCAUCUGUCGAAGGUUGUGCUUUUGCUUGGUUUCCUCCUCUCUUCUUCGGGCUGCAACUGAUCUCGGCU
This 318-nucleotide long non-coding RNA is filed under the name Musa acuminata (dwarf banana). RNAcentral describes it as "long non-coding RNA (MACU_LNC002964)". The record is from RNAcentral. Lineage: Eukaryota; Viridiplantae; Streptophyta; Magnoliopsida; Zingiberales; Musaceae.